Stegodyphus dumicola is the source of this 279-nucleotide long non-coding RNA. Lineage: Eukaryota; Metazoa; Arthropoda; Arachnida; Araneae; Eresidae. The record is from RefSeq and is a predicted model, not a curated record.
UGAAAGUCUGCAGAAGAUUUCCAAACCGCAUUGUUUGUGGACUGUAAAUUCUGUAGUUGAAUUCAUUGUAUGUGCUCGAUGGGCAACUAAUUACAUGUGUGAAAAAAUGGGUUAUAAUUGAUAAAGAUAUGACUGUAAAGAUUUCUACGUUAUCUUUUCUGAAUUUUUGAGCUAUGAAUAGAUGGAUUUUUUUUUUUUUUUAAUUAAGGAAAUUGUCAGAGAUGAUACUUGUCUGUAGUGUCUUAGAAGGAUUAUUUUUCAAUCAAAAACAUGUUCUGA